Molecule: non-coding RNA, 173 nt
Filed under: Helianthus annuus (common sunflower)
Lineage: Eukaryota; Viridiplantae; Streptophyta; Magnoliopsida; Asterales; Asteraceae
Source: RNAcentral
GAAAGCCGCAUUCGAUGAAAGUCGUAUGUACGGCUUGGAGGGAAAUAUUUCAUAUCUUUCCGAGAUCCACCCUUCAAUAUGGAUUGAAAAAGCCAAAAUAAGAUCUAACAAAAUAAAAUAUAGAGUUAAUAGCACAGAUGGGUCAUGUGGUUUAUAGCUAGUUUCACCUUUGU